GGUAGUGAGGUAGAAAGAUUAAUAGGUAGUGAGUUUAAUAAAUAGUGAGGUAGCGAGUUUAAUAGAUAGUUAUGUAGCGAGUUUAAUGGGUAGUGAGGUAGCGAGUUUAAUAGAUAGUGAGGUAGUGAGUUUAAUUGAUAUUGAGGUAGCGAGUUUAAUAGAUAGUUAGGUAGCGAAUUUAAUAAUUAGUGAGGUAGCGAGUUUAAUAUGUAGUGAGGUAGCGAGUUUAAUAAUUAGUUAGGUAGCGAGUUUAAUAGGUAUUGAGGUAGUGACUAAUGUUAGUCUAUUUACUGUUUACACAGUGGAUUGACAACUUUCCUGUGAUUCAGCUGCCUCAUGCCUUCACUGAAAUUGUACCAAAUAUGUUGUGUCAUAAUUUGUUAUAUCUCUCCAUUGGUUCAUUUUCUGAUACGUCUUUGAUUGCUGUUUCUGUAGACCAUUGAUUGAUUAACCGUCCAGUAAUUAUGCCAGUGUGGCUGUGAGAAAGAUUCUAGGUCAACUGGUAACUCUAAAUGCAGAGGUAAGAAAACCAUGAUCCAAAACACAGGUAUAGAAUCACUGUGAUCUAAAACCUUUUACUUUAAGGUCAUGUGAAAAGUCUUCCCUCUUUUAGAGCCUGCCUGACCUCUUGAUGGUGUAUGAUCACCCACUGAAGAUGGUUCAGGAUC
Long non-coding RNA from Ictalurus punctatus (channel catfish), 668 nucleotides. NCBI's taxonomy places the organism in Eukaryota, Metazoa, Chordata, Actinopteri, Siluriformes, Ictaluridae. The record is from Ensembl.